Molecule: ribosomal RNA, 473 nt
Filed under: Pinna muricata
Lineage: Eukaryota; Metazoa; Mollusca; Bivalvia; Pterioida; Pinnidae
Description: partial 12S ribosomal RNA
Rfam family: Bacterial small subunit ribosomal RNA
Source: RNAcentral
UAGAUAAUAAACGGGGAUUUGGUACCCCCUUAUUUUUAGAUGUUAAAUUUGCGCUCGUAAAGUGUGCUGCCUGGGGACUACGAGCAAUUGCUUAAAACUCAAAGGACUUGGCGGUGCCGAGUACCAUUCAGGGGAACUUGACGCUUAAUCCGAUGACCCGCGAAUAACCUUACCUUCCCUUGUCUUGUGAGAACAAGUCAGGCUGUUUAUCCCCGUCUAAAGUUUUUAGUUUGAGCUAGGAAAAAUGUGACUAAAAAAUUUUUUGUGGUUUCUAGGACAGGCCGAGAUGCACUUAAUGGGGAGGGGUUAGUUGAGUUACAAUUACUUGAGAGUAAUGGAAAAGCUUUGGAACAGAGCUUGGAAAGUGGACCUGACAGUAUAGUUAAAUCAGAACGUUAACUAGAAAGGUUGGACCUCGGCGCGUACAAAUCGCCCGUCGCCCUCUUCGAAAGUGGAGGUAAGUCGUAACAUAG